CCUACGGGUGGCUGCAGUGGGGAAUAUUGGACAAUGGGCGAAAGCCUGAUCCAGCCAUGCCGCGUGUGUGAAGAAGGCCUUCGGGUUGUAAAGCACUUUCAGUGGGGAAGAAAGCCUUGGGGCUAAUACCCUCGAGGAAGGACAUCACCCACAGAAGAAGCACCGGCUAACUCCGUGCCAGCAGCCGCGGUAAUACGGAGGGUGCGAGCGUUAAUCGGAAUUACUGGGCGUAAAGCGCGCGUAGGCGGUCUGAUAAGCCGGUUGUGAAAGCCCCGGGCUCAACCUGGGAACGGCAUCCGGAACUGUCAGGCUAGAGUGCAGGAGAGGAAGGUAGAAUUCCCGGUGUAGCGGUGAAAUGCGUAGAGAUCGGGAGGAAUACCAGUGGCCAAGGCGGCCUUCUGGACUGACACUGACGCUGAGGUGCGAAAGCGUGGGUAGCAAACAGGAUUAGAUACCCUGGUAGUC
RNAcentral lists this ribosomal RNA (465 nucleotides) under Vreelandella stevensii. Its description in RNAcentral is "partial 16S ribosomal RNA". It matches the Rfam family "Bacterial small subunit ribosomal RNA", at positions 338 to 795 of the family's 1533-position model. The record is from RNAcentral. Lineage: Bacteria; Pseudomonadati; Pseudomonadota; Gammaproteobacteria; Oceanospirillales; Halomonadaceae.